CAAGAGGAACGACAAGAGGAACGACAAGAGGAACGACAAAAGGAGCGACAAGAGGAACGACAAAAGGAACGACAAGAUGUUACGCAUGACGUAAAACCAAAGAUGUACGACCCAAGAUAUGUAAAAAAUUUGCAAUAUGAACAAAACGAAUUAAAAAAAAUUAUUUUUUCAGAUGUAACAGACUUAUUAGACAUACUAGAUACCCAAGGCGGUGCUAGCUCGGUGAGUAAGAACAAAAUCGACGAAUCAAUAAAAAAGGAAAAAAAAUGGGGAAAGAAAAAAUGGGGAAGGAAAAAGUGGAGAAGGAAAAAACGGAGAAGGAAAAAACGGAGAAGGAAAAAACGGAGAAGGGAAAAAUUAAAAAAGAUUCUGUUGUACUGGGUACUGUUGCUAGUAAGAAACUACAAUUAAUAAAAGAUGAACUGAAUGAAAAAAAAAAAAAAAAAAAAAAUUAUUUGAUAGUAGAGAAAAAAAUAAUAAAAUAAUAAUUGGAAAUGAAAUUAUGAACAAUAUAAGUGACAAAAAUUAUACAAACAUGGAUUACAACGAAAAUGGAUUAUUUGCUAGCCAUAAAACCAAAAAUGAAAUAUUGGAUGGAAUGGUAGAAAGUAAAAAUAUAUUAAAUAAUCAAAAGGAUGGAGCAUUAGACACGAACGUGUUGGCUAACGAAUUCAAAGAUGAUGGUGAUAAGUUAUAUAAUGGUUUCACCAAAUAUGAUUUUACAAGUGCGAGAGUAAAAAAAUAUGACCAACUAUAUACAGACGUGAAAGGAAGUGUAAAAAUGGUGGAUAAACUUGAGUUGCAAAAGGAAGAGGGCAACGGAUUAUUACAAAACAAUUUGCGCGGCAAACUACAAAAUGAAUUACAAGAUAAGCUCUCUAAACAAAGCAUUGUCCAUUAUGUAUAUACCGAAGACACAAAUAAAAUGAAAACAUUUAUGAAAAUAAGUAAAAAAAGAAACAAAGACAAUUUUUUAAUUUUAUCGAAACCAAACAAAAACAUAUACAAGUUAAUUAAAAAAUUAAAAAUUGAAUUUAUUGAACCAUUUAUAGUGUUAAAAAAAAAUAUAAAAAUAGAAACAAAAUUUUUAUCACCCUUAGGAAAAUUAAUUAAUAAUAAAUUACAAAAUGGUUAUAGUAUUUCUUUUAAACAAAUGUUAGAUUUAACAUUAGAAUAUAUGAUAACGAUAAUAUCUAAAAAUAAUGGAUACGUUUUAUUUUUGAACGAUUAUUAUUUUGAAUAUGUUUAUGAAUUUUUAUUAAAGUUGAAAGCGCUAUCCAAUCUUAAUGAUAUAAAUUAUGUACACUUUUUAAAUUUAAAUUGUUUGAAAAAUAUUAUUGAUGAUGAUGAAGAAAUAGUAACGAAUGAAUUGAUGAUAGAAAAUAAAAACUUAGUUAUGUCGAACUUCUUUAAAAACAUGUUCCCUACUUUUUGUAUCAUUUUGGAAAAUUACAAAACGGAAGGGUUAGAUUAUAACAUAUGUAUACAUGGUUGUCAUUCGGGGGAUACAUACGUGCAUAUAUAUAUAUAUAUAUAUACAUAUACAUAUACAUAUAC
Long non-coding RNA from Piliocolobus tephrosceles (Ugandan red Colobus), 1557 nucleotides. The record is from Ensembl. NCBI's taxonomy places the organism in Eukaryota, Metazoa, Chordata, Mammalia, Primates, Cercopithecidae.